This is a non-coding RNA of Poecilia reticulata (guppy), 320 nucleotides long. The record is from RefSeq and is a predicted model, not a curated record. NCBI's taxonomy places the organism in Eukaryota, Metazoa, Chordata, Actinopteri, Cyprinodontiformes, Poeciliidae.
ACAGUAAAAAUAAGUUUUAAUUAUGUCCCGUGAAGGUGAGCAAACUUUGAAGCGUAACAUCGCGCAUCGAGUGACGGCAAGCGUGGCUGGUUAAUAUCCAGAGGAAACACAAGCUGUUAGCGGUUAGCGAUGAUGUCUCUGUCCGAUUACACCAAGACAAAACCCCUAGAAGAUCGCCUUUCGCUCCUGUGGCCAACUCCACGACGUACGACGACCUGCUGGGGAUGUUGAGCCUCCAGCUGAGAGUCUGGCGUUUCCAUGGAUACCAUAACAGGAGAAUCUGGAUAAAGUCACCUGUGUCAGAGGAUGGGACGAUUUUG